Molecule: long non-coding RNA, 489 nt
Filed under: Homo sapiens (human)
Lineage: Eukaryota; Metazoa; Chordata; Mammalia; Primates; Hominidae
Description: non-protein coding CCDC18-AS1:34
Source: RNAcentral
CCUCCCGGGUUCAAGUGAUUCUCCUGCCUCAGCCUCCUGAGUAGCUGGGACUACAGAUAACUGAUACCGUGCUUCCAGAAGAUUUUUCUAACAGUGUUUGCAAGCUAUAAAAUAGUGCUUUCACUUAGAAAAGGCUAGACGUGGUGGUUCAUGCCUGUAAUCCCAGCACUUUGAGAGGCCGAGGCACCAUGCUGGGAGAUAAGGAUCCAACAUAAGACAAACAGUGCUGAUGCUUUUGGAAAGCUCAUAUUCAAGCUGGGGAGACAAACAACAUACAAGAGGGCUCUGAGAGAUUUCAUUUCUGUCCUGCUGAUGAAGUCUACGUUCAUUCAGGGCCUGCUGUGGAAGACCAGCCCCAAAGUUGCUGAACAGAAGACUUUUGAGAGUCAGCAGAAAUCUUCCACUUUGCAUGGUUCUCUUGAUGUGAAAUCAUCUAUAUAGCCCCAGAAUUGGAAAAGAAAAAAAAUAAAAAAAUGGAAGGAAACUGGA